AAGCGGCGUUUACUCGUCCGGAUGGAAGCGGAACGGCCGACGACCCCGGGCGGAGCGGAUUAUCAGGCGCGGGGAGCACGGUUUUCACAGGGCGUCUGAACGCUCCUUACGAAGGAAAGAUUGUUGUCCUGUUUUCAUUUGGUCCUUUUUAAAAAAAUUUAAUUUCGAACAGAGCAGGGAGAAAGGAAGCGACUUCCAGAGCCGCCGCUGGGAGCGGGUUCUGUGGGAAUCCGCGCUGCGUGCCCGGCAGGGCUGGGCUCCGAGGAGCGCUGGUUGUACAAAGGCAGAGUUAAAAGGACGGGGUCGGUUUCCACACGAACCCUAACGCUUCCCCCGGGGGCAGCUUCCAACCCUUCCACCGGCACCAAAGCGCCUGGACGUUUCCUUUACCACAGCCCCCUGCCACAGGGACAACACACCGGGUUUUCCCACCGAAGGACACCCAGGUGUGCUGGGCUGCCAGCACUGGAGCAGCAUCAGCACGGCACGCUGAGCUCGCUGCGAUGCUCGUGGGCCGCCUGCUUCAACCCUCCCCAUCCGCAGGCUGAGCCGAGCGCAGCAGGCUCAGGGCCCGCGCUGACCGGGUUCCAGCGGGACUGAGAACAGGCCGCUAACAACUUCAAAACGAUUUUAUUUCUUAAAUUGGCGUUGUACAAUUUAAAGCCAAAAAAAAAAAAAAAAAAA
Molecule: long non-coding RNA, 684 nt
Organism: Numida meleagris (helmeted guineafowl)
Lineage: Eukaryota; Metazoa; Chordata; Aves; Galliformes; Numididae
Exons: 2
Source: RefSeq, a predicted model, not a curated record